RNAcentral lists this ribosomal RNA (497 nucleotides) under uncultured bacterium. RNAcentral describes it as "partial 16S ribosomal RNA". It matches the Rfam family "Bacterial small subunit ribosomal RNA", at positions 28 to 507 of the family's 1533-position model. The record is from RNAcentral.
GACGAACGCUGGCGGCGUGCCUAAUACAUGCAAGUAGAACGCUGAAGAGAGAAGCUUGCUCUUCUUGGAUGAGUUGCGCACGGGUGAGUAACGCGUAGGUAACCUGCCUUGUAGCGGGGGAUAACUAUUGGAAACGAUAGCUAAUACCGCAUAACAAUGGAUGACACAUGUCAUUUAUUUGAAAGGGGCAAUUGCUCCACUACAAGAUGGACCUGCGUUGUAUUAGCUAGUAGGUGAGGUAAUGGCUCACCUAGGCGACGAUACAUAGCCGACCUGAGAGGGUGAUCGGCCACACUGGGACUGAGACACGGCCCAGACUCCUACGGGAGGCAGCAGUAGGGAAUCUUCGGCAAUGGGGGCAACCCUGACCGAGCAACGCCGCGUGAGUGAAGAAGGUUUUCGGAUCGUAAAGCUCUGUUGUAAGUCAAGAACGGGUGUGAGAGUGGAAAGUUCACACUGUGACGGUAGCUUACCAGAAAGGGACGGCUAACUACGUG